Molecule: ribosomal RNA, 850 nt
Filed under: Agelenopsis aperta
Lineage: Eukaryota; Metazoa; Arthropoda; Arachnida; Araneae; Agelenidae
Description: SSU rRNA
Rfam family: Eukaryotic small subunit ribosomal RNA
Source: RNAcentral
UGCAUGUCUAAGUACAUGCCGUAUUAAGGCGAAACCGCGAAUGGCUCAUUAAAUCAGUCAUGGUUCCUUGGAUCGUACCUUACUACUUGGAUAACUGUGGCAAUUCUAGAGCUAAUACAUGCAGCAGAGCUCCGACCUUCGGGGACGAGCGCUUUUAUUAGACCAAAACCAAUCGGACCUCGUGUCCGUCUCUUGUGGUGACUCUGUAUAACUUUGGGCUGAUCGCACGGGCCUGUCCCGGCGACGUAUCUUUCAAGUGUCUGCCUUAUCAACUUUCGAUGGUAGGUUACGCGCCUACCAUGGUCGUAACGGGUAACGGGGAAUCAGGGUUCGAUUCCGGAGAGGGAGCCUGAGAAACGGCUACCACAUCCAAGGAAGGCAGCAGGCGCGCAAAUUACCCACUCCCAGAACGGGGAGGUAGUGACGAAAAAUAACAAUACGGGACUCUUUUGAGACCCCGUAAUUGGAAUGAGUACACUCUAAAUCCUUUAACGAGGAUCCAUUGGAGGGUAAGUCUGGUGCCAGCAACCGCGGUAAUUCCAGCUCCAAUAGCGUAUAUUAAAGUUGUUGCGGUUAAAAAGCUCGUAGUUGGAUCUCAGUUCCAGACGGGUGGUCCGCCUACCGGUGGUUACUGCCUGUUCUGAACAGUCAGCCGGUUUCUCUUGAUGAUCUUCACCGGUUGUCUUGGGUGACCGGCAAGUUUACUUUGAAAAAAUUAGAGUGCUCAAAGCAGGCGUGACGCCUGAAUAAUGGUGCAUGGAAUAAUGGAAUAGGACCUCGGUUCUAUUUUGUUGGUUUUCGGAACACGAGGUAAUGAUUAAGAGGGACAGACCGGGGGCAUUCGUAUUGC